This 151-nucleotide unclassified non-coding RNA is filed under the name uncultured fungus. Its description in RNAcentral is "sequence contains ITS2". The record is from RNAcentral. Lineage: Eukaryota; Fungi.
UCACCAAUCCAGCCUGGCUGGGUGUUGGGCAGCGCGGCCUUCCCGCCGCACGCCCCAAUGUCGCCGGCCACGCCGUCCGUCCCCUCGCGUUGUGGCAUCUCGUCUCGCGUCGGUGGUCGUUCGGGGUGCGCCGUUCAACCCAUACUUCUUA